GAUGAACGCUGGCGGCGUGCUUAACACAUGCAAGUCGAACGAAGCACUUUGAAACAAUCCUCCGGGUUGAUUUGAUUUGUGACUGAGUGGCGGACGGGUGAGUAACGCGUGGGUAACCUGCCUUGUACAGGGGGAUAACAGUUAGAAAUGACUGCUAAUACCGCAUAAGCGCACGGUGUCGCAUGACACAGUGUGAAAAACUCCGGUGGUACAAGAUGGACCCGCGUCUGAUUAGCUUGUUGGUGAGGUAACGGCUCACCAAGGCGACGAUCAGUAGCCGACUUGAGAGAGUGAUCGGCCACAUUGGGACUGAGACACGGCCCAAAACUCCUACGGGAGGCAGCAGUGGGGAAUAUUGCACAAUGGGGGAAACCCUGAUGCAGCGACGCCGCGUGAGUGAUGAAGUAUUUUCGGUAAUGGUAAAAACUCUAUCAGCAAGGAAGAUAAAUGACGGUACUUGACUAAGAAGCCCCGGNUAACUACGUGCCAGCA
RNAcentral lists this ribosomal RNA (492 nucleotides) under uncultured bacterium. RNAcentral describes it as "bacterial SSU rRNA". It matches the Rfam family "Bacterial small subunit ribosomal RNA", at positions 28 to 513 of the family's 1533-position model. The record is from RNAcentral.